ACAUCACCUCUAGCAUCACAAGUAUUAGAGGCAAUGCCUGCCCAGUGACUAAAGUUAAACGGCCGCGGUAUUCUGACCGUGCAAAGGUAGCAUAAUCACUUGUUCCUUAAUUAGGGACUAGAAUGAAUGGCUAAACGAGGGUUUAACUGUCUCUUAUUUCCCAUCAGUGAAACUGACCUUCCCGUGAAGAGGCGGGAAUAAUAAAAUUAGACGAGAAGACCCUAUGGAGCUUUAAUUUAUUAAUUUACUUUCAACAACUUGUAAUCUAAUGAAAUCAAAAACUGAAAACUAAAUUAAUGAUUUAGGUUGGGGCGACCUCGGAGAAUAAACUAACCCCCGAAAGAUUAUGAUUCAGGCCGACAAGCCAAAAUAAGUAUGCCUAUCACAAUCGACCCAUUAAUUAUGAUCGACGAACCAAGUUACCCUAGGGAUAACAGCGCAAUCCUAUUUAAGAGUUCCUAUCGAAAAUAGGGUUUACGACCUCGAUGUUGGAUCAGGAUAUCCCAAUGGUGCAGCAGCUAUUAAUGGUUCGUUUGUUCAACGAUUAAAG
This 550-nucleotide ribosomal RNA is filed under the name Rhombomys opimus (great gerbil). Its description in RNAcentral is "partial large subunit ribosomal RNA". It matches the Rfam family "Bacterial large subunit ribosomal RNA", at positions 1813 to 2593 of the family's 2925-position model. Lineage: Eukaryota; Metazoa; Chordata; Mammalia; Rodentia; Muridae. The record is from RNAcentral.